CUGCAGUUUGUCACCUGCUUGGCUGGCCCCCUUAACAGUUGAAGCUCUGUUCCUCCUAUGAAAGACUCAGCUACUCUAUCUCCUGGCUGAAGCCUCCAAGCUCCCCGAACACUGUGGUCCCUGAGGCUGUGAGACUCUCUCUUGCAAGUCAGCACCUGAGGAUCCCUGGUCCAAGCUUCAUUCCUCUGGGUCCAAGAACCUAGAAGAAAAGCCUGGAGCCACACACUCACCUGGGUGAAGCCAUAAGGAGGCUUUUCAAGGCCUGACUAAACACCUAAGAGAAGCAACUUAAGGAAGAAAGGACUUAGUUGGAUAACGGCUCAGAGAGUCCACCACAUCAGGGAAGCCUGGUAGCUGGAGUGAGUCAGACCACUGUGGCUGAAGCUUCCCACAUGAUGUGGACCACAAGCAAACAAACAAGAACAAGGAAAUCUGGCCUGUCACUCUCAAUGACUAUCACCAGUGACCCUCCAGUGCCAGCCAUGCUUCCUACUACAAAGGCUCCACAACCUCCCAAAACAGGGGACCAAGGGUUCACACACAUGUGCCUAUAGAGGACACAUCACAGUCAACAUAAGAGUGGAACUGAGACACAGAGUGGAAGCCAGAGGGAAGAACACUGAUCCUACAUCUUAAUAAAUGGCCAUAGAGGGACUGCCACUUGCUAUUAAGUAGCAUGUAAACCUCAGAGACUGUCUGUCAUCUUGUGCUUUAAAGGCUACUUUAAGUGACAAUGUUAAUGAUGUAUCUAGUGAUGACAGUUGGCGAAACAAAGCCCAGCCAUCAGAAGCUUAUUGAAUAUAAGUGUCUAGCACACCGCGAGCCACCCAGCAAUCUAAUGUGGAAAUGCAGAUGUGCCACCAAAGACACAGACAGUUCAUGACCUCACAUGGUGUCUCUGCAGGACACUCACCUGUGUGGAUAUGACAGAGCAUGGGUCAUUUGGACUGCCGAAGGGUGUUGUUUUCCUGGGGAGAUGGCUCAACCAGGAAAAUGUUGGCAGCCUAAGCCUGAGGACCUGAAUUAAGACCCCAGAGCCCAUGUUACAGGGAGUCUGGAGUGACAGUGCAUACUUGGCGUGCUGGUCCUGAGGAGUUGGAGUCAAAGGCAUGCCCAGGGCUCCAGAGCCAGUCAGUUCUGUGAGCUCAAGCUCAAGGAGAGACCUUGUCAUAGAAAACAAGAUGGCGGCUGCUUAGGAAGGACGUUUGAGCUGAUCUCUGUACUUCACUCACACAUGCACACACACACAGGUACACAUUUUAUUUUAGAACCCAUGUUCAUAAAGGAGAGUAGAGAUGGG
RNAcentral lists this small RNA (1300 nucleotides) under Mus musculus (house mouse). RNAcentral describes it as "lncRNA Tog". The record is from RNAcentral. Lineage: Eukaryota; Metazoa; Chordata; Mammalia; Rodentia; Muridae.